UUAUAGAAGUCCCGGAAAGCGGAUGUGCAGAUUGCAGAUUUAUCUGCAUAGAUGCACAUACAUUUGACGGGCUGACACAUAUGAGCAAGAAGGACGACAGGACGCAUUGCGAAUGUGUGUGCGAUUGCGGGAGUACUCAGUACGGAGCAAUCGACUUCUAUAA
This 163-nucleotide small RNA is filed under the name Blautia sp. CAG:257. RNAcentral describes it as "Clostridiales-1 RNA". It matches the Rfam family "Clostridiales-1 RNA". Lineage: Bacteria; Bacillati; Bacillota; Clostridia; Lachnospirales; Lachnospiraceae. The record is from Rfam by way of RNAcentral.